Long non-coding RNA from Homo sapiens (human), 1886 nucleotides. Ensembl annotates it as TAGAP antisense RNA 1. Its record names the gene TAGAP-AS1. The record is from Ensembl. NCBI's taxonomy places the organism in Eukaryota, Metazoa, Chordata, Mammalia, Primates, Hominidae.
GCCGCCCUCUGCAGCUGAGUCAGUGCAGUUCCUCACCUACCUUCUCUGCUCACCGCUGUGUGCUAGCAAUCGGAGGACCCUUGGCACACGGAGCGACAGGGGCCUCCCCCACAGACACCUCAUUUUGGGAAAGAAGCUGUACAGGAGGCAUGGCUGGGGAGGCCUCAGAAAACUUACAAUCAUGGCAGAAGGUGAAGGGGAAGCCAGCACAUCUUCAUAUGAUGGCAGGAACUUUAUAUGUUAUAGAAGUUAGCCCCAAGAAUGAAAUCGUGUCCUUUGCCAAAACAUGGAUGGAGCUAGAGGCCUUUAUCCUAAAAGCUACAAAUCUUCAGCAUUCUCCACUCUGUGAAGUCAGAGGAAUGGCGGGACCAUAGCUCUGAGCUCAUUGGCAAAUACAACUAAUUUCAAUUUCUGGAAUGGAAGCAGUCAGAUAUUCUUCUGACUGCACGCGUAUGUGGGAGUGCCAUGUUGAAGAGUGGAAAAUAUGGAAGAUCAGUCCCUACAAACUUAAUAGGAGAAUGACAUUCAGAUUUCCCGAGUAUUUUGCAUGUCCAACUGAAAACUGAAGUAGGUUUAUGAGAGAAUGCACGCCUACCUGGAUGGGUCUGGGGAGUGUGUCACUGUCACCGCAGAUAAUUGACAAGGGCUGAUCAAAUAGCGAUGCUUUCAAGUCUGUCUCCAAAGCCCCAGAAAAAUCUGAUGCAGGGGAGAGCCUUCUCAUGAGAAAGGGCCAGGACAGCACCUUCUUUCUCUUCUUAACUUCUACAGCCAAGAAAACAAGGCAACGAGAAAAAUUAGACUACAGUGUUAAGAAGCAAAGAUCCAGGUGACUGGUCACCUUGGGUUUUCCAGGUUGCUGCUUUAGGACAGAGGCAAAUACGAAUCGCUGCGGGAAGCCUUGAACCUAGAUCUGGCAACUGGGAAUUAUCAGCAAAACGUUAUCAAGAUAUUCUGUCCUUCUGAAAUCCACAAGAUGUGUGUGCAAUGGAUAUUGCAAUCUCAAACAUUUCCUUCUUUCUUUUCUUUUCCUUCCUUCCUUCCUUCUCCUUUCUUACUAAUUAUAAAGGCUAUAUUUUCUAAAUGCAUUGGCAUCUGUUUCUAUACAUUUCAGAUUGGCAAGUGGAAGCAUGAUGAGAAAGAAGUGGCCUGUCUUUAUGGUUCAGGAGAACUGGGUCAGGGUUACGCUAUAAUGAAAUGCAUUAUGAAAAAAGUUGAGAGUGAAUGGUGGGUCCUUUGGGAUUUGAGAUCAGCAACAGUUGCUUCAUAGGCUCUUGGAUGCAUUCUCCAUAAGAGAAGGAAGAAAAUGGAAAAGACACUGUGUGUUUUUCAAAUGUGUGCAUGCUAAUUGUCGAAACAUACAUGGCCAGGAGAUUGAACCGCAUUAAAAACGCUUGGCAGAACUGGGGAUUCUCUAUGGAGAGGCUCUUUCCUUUCCCAGCACUCCCUGCUCUAGUGAGUUGGAGCAUACCUGCCAUUUAAGGGUUAAUGUUCUGCGGUCUUUAACAGAACAACUUAUACAAAAAAAUUCCUAGUAGAGUAAAAGCGCUGUGGUUUUGCAAACCAAGAGCACUGGUUGUUAGCACUUACAUAAAAGAUCGGUAUGUUUUUAAAACUCACCAAUGAGCUGGCAAAUACUGUCUUCACUCUCACAUGAUGCCAACAGGGGAUGUUCCUUGAUAUCACCCUAAAAACAUUUUUAUUUCAGUUAAAUAUAGUGACUGAAGAAACCUAUCGAGUCUUUCCCCACAAAACACACAUACAGCAUUUUAUUCAUAUUAAAAAUGAAGUCAGUAGAGUGCAUUGAUGUUUUUUCUAGCUUCUAGAAGCAAUAUUAAGGUCUUGAUUGUCAUCAUAUAAGAUCCUAAUUAAUGUGCUUAAUUUACUAC